This is a long non-coding RNA of Rhagoletis pomonella (apple maggot), 1885 nucleotides long. RefSeq lists it as uncharacterized. The record is from RefSeq and is a predicted model, not a curated record. Lineage: Eukaryota; Metazoa; Arthropoda; Insecta; Diptera; Tephritidae. The transcript has 4 exons.
GCUCGAAAAUGAGGAUAAUCUACUUAUAUGUGAACCUAGUAUAACUCCGGUUGAAAAAUUUUACCAUGUCAAUCAAAAGUCCCGUGGGGAAGCCAAAUACUACAUUUACAUUGAGCCCAAAUGCGUCAUGCCCUAAACAGAAUUGCAGUGGAUAGCGGGUUACGGGCUGACGGGUGGCGAACAGCUGACCCAUUCCAGGAGGGAAAAUUCGGACGGGUAAACACAAUUGCGACGGAACGGUUUUUAGUUGACAUUUUGUGGUUUAACAAUAAAAUCAAUUUUGUAGUACAAUCUUUUCGUUUGCUUUUCGUUUGUGUGUACGUGCAAAAAUGUCCAAUAUUCAAAGACUUUUGCGGAUAAUUAAAAUUAUGUACAUAAUGAGCACAAUGUACGAGAUGUACAUGGAGGCGAGCAAGUGGUUGAAAAGGAGGUGGUGGGUGCGUCCUGCGAACCUCACCAGCAAUGAGUUUGGGUUCCAUGGAACAUGUUUUCAACAACUGAAGCUGGAGGACGAGGAGCACUUUUUCAAAGCCACUAGGAUGAGUUUUCCCAAAUUUCAAACUCUUUUGACUUUGAUAAACGAGAGACUCGCGCGUUUUUCGAGAAGAGCGCCAAUAAAUGAAGAAACUCGCUUGGCACUGACACUGAUGUAAAAAAAUUUAGUCACAAAUGCAACGAAAUGGUUCAAUAACAAUAUGUCUCAGUUUAGCUACUUAACGCAGCCCACAAUAUCUCGCCUGGUCGCACAAAAUCGGGGUAUUGACAGUAAGGGAGACAAUUUACGAUACUUGCAAUGCCUUAUGUACAGAACUGCCUGACGUCUACGUCGCUCAGCCCAAUGAGCAUGAAUGGAAAAAAAUAUCAGACAGGUUUUACUUGAAAACGGGAAUGUCAAAUUGUGUUGGAGCGGUCGAUGGCAAGCAUAUAAAAAUAGUUUGUCCAGCACGCAGCGGAUCGUUGUUUUACAAUUAUAAAAAAACGUAUAGUAUCGUUCUAAUGGCAGCCUGCGAUUCCAACUACACGUUUACUUGUGUGGACGUGGGUGCGAUGGGAAGCGAGAGUGAUGGUGGAAUUUUUUCACGUAGUGCAUUUGGAAAAUUGAUUUUAAGAGGAUACCUUAAUAUUCCGCCAGAUAAUGCAAUUCCUGGAACAGAAACAACUUUCCAAUAUUAUUUCGUGGGAGAUAAUGCAUUCCCACUGAAGCACAACUUGAUGCGUCCAUAUCCUGGCCGGAACUUAUCAGCUAUAAAGGACAACUUCAACAAAAAAUUAUCUCGUCCUCGUGUGCAUAUUGAAAAUUCAUUUGGAAUUUUGAUUAGCAGGUGGAGAGUUCUACACACGAAUAUUCACGGAGCACCAAACAAUGUGGAUAAAAUCGUGUUAGCGACAAUUGUACUGCAUAAUUAUCUAAUGCUCGAUAGGGAGAGUGGAUAUUUCAAUGACGAGCUCGUGGACCACCUGGAAAAUGGUGUUCAUGUGCCAGGGACUUGGAGGGAAUCCCACGCUGGGCUGCCUUCCUGCAGAAUCGCACUAGCGAAUCGGUCAUGUGCAGAUGCAUUUAGGAGCAGAGACGCACUGGCCGAUAUACUGUUUAAUAAUUGAGGACGCCGCAUCUGAUUUGUUGCUAAACGUGUCUUCAGUGUUGGAACUUUUACCACUGUGCUAUAAAUUUUAUUAAAAUUCUAUUUUAUUUCUUUUCUAUUUGCUUUAAAAUUUAAUUUAACUUCAAAUUCAAUUUAUUACAUAUUCAUCAACUUCUGGACAAAUAAAUAUGUAAUUACAGCCGGUGAUUUUGAGAUAACUUUUAUUUUGACCGUAUCACAUGGAAGAAAGUGCAUAAUACGGUCAACAAAAAAAUAUUUGGAGAAAAUUAAUGACCAUUAUC